GUGUUGUAUGAAAGGAGAGAAGGUUAGCACUCCCAUUGACAAGGAUGGAAGAGGCUUCGGCCUGCAACACGCAUACGGUUAGGGGCCAGGCGGUGGCGCUAGAGGUAAGGUGCCUGCAUUGCCU
Small nuclear RNA from Suncus etruscus (white-toothed pygmy shrew), 124 nucleotides. NCBI's taxonomy places the organism in Eukaryota, Metazoa, Chordata, Mammalia, Eulipotyphla, Soricidae. The record is from RefSeq and is a predicted model, not a curated record.